UUGCGCUCGCCUGGAGAGGGUCCCCUCUAGCGGCCACAGGAAGGACGCUGGAACGGAACUCCGCUCCCUCCUCGGGCUGUAUCUGGAAAGCUCCGGUGACUUGCUCACUCCACCUGCCCUACAGAUUCCAGGCCCAUGACAUCCUGUCAUGAACAGUUAUACAAGCAAGUGCACCAGUGAGGCACAUCUGCACAGUGCUCCAUUCACACCUGGGCUGUACCUUCUCUCAUCCUGGCUUCACAGGUGCUUAGAAGAACACACAGUCAAGUUUUUCACCAAACACAUGGAAUAUAUCACAGAACUUUGCUAAGAUGGACAACUCCAUGCAAAAAGACCAACACUCUGGCAAAAAAUAUUCCAGAAAGGCUGACAGAGUACAGAAAGGUCUAGUGAAUUUUAUAACAGAGGUCUUUGGGGACGUGAGCUCCUGACAUAUGUUCAUUUUAGUUUUACUGCUGCGUAUCCAACACAAUCCUCCAUUCCUUUUAAAUAUCAGCCUUCCAGAAUUCCAGAACCAGAAAAAAAAGGAUUUAAUAGUCAAGCCAAGAGGUUUUACCAUAAAAAGGAUGAUAUCCCAGGUCCUGGGUUCUACAACGUCAUUCACCAGUCUCCUGUGUUUGACAGUGUGUCGUUGUCUAAGAAAGGGACGUGUACGUUUCCC
Physeter macrocephalus (sperm whale) is the source of this 661-nucleotide long non-coding RNA. RefSeq lists it as uncharacterized. The record is from RefSeq and is a predicted model, not a curated record. The transcript has 5 exons. Lineage: Eukaryota; Metazoa; Chordata; Mammalia; Artiodactyla; Physeteridae.